UGGGGAAUAUUGGACAAUGGGCGCAAGCCUGAUCCAGCCAUGCCGCGUGAGUGAUGAAGGCCUUAGGGUUGUAAAGCUCUUUCGCCGACGAAGAUAAUGACGGUAGUCGGAGAAGAAGCCCCGGCUAACUUCGUGCCAGCAGCCGCGGUAAUACGAAGGGGGCUAGCGUUGUUCGGAAUCACUGGGCGUAAAGCGCACGUAGGCGGAUUGUUAAGUCAGGGGUGAAAGCCUGGAGCUCAACUCCAGAACUGCCCUUGAUACUGGCAAUCUCGAGUCCGGAAGAGGUAAGUGGAACUGCGAGUGUAGAGGUGAAAUUCGUAGAUAUUCGCAAGAACACCAGUGGCGAAGGCGGCUUACUGGUCCGGUACUGACGCUGAGGUGCGAAAAGCGUGGGGGAGCAAAACAGGAUUAGAUACCCUGGUAGUCCACGCCGUAAAACGAUGGAGGCUAGCCGUUGGCGAGCAUGCUCGUCAGUGGCGCAGCUAACGCAUUAAGCCUCCCCGCCCUGGGGGAGUACGGUCGCAAGA
Molecule: ribosomal RNA, 527 nt
Filed under: uncultured bacterium
Lineage: Bacteria
Description: partial 16S ribosomal RNA
Rfam family: Bacterial small subunit ribosomal RNA
Source: RNAcentral